GACGAACGCUGGCGGCGUGCCUAAUACAUGCAAGUAGAACGCUGAAGGAGGAGCUUGCUUCUCUGGAUGAGUUGCGAACGGGUGAGUAACGCGUAGGUAACCUGCCUGGUAGCGGGGGAUAACUAUUGGAAACGAUAGCUAAUACCGCAUAAGAGUAGAUGUUGCAUGACAUUUGCUUAAAAGGUGCAAUUGCAUCACUACCAGAUGGACCUGCGUUGUAUUAGCUAGUUGGUGAGGUAACGGCUCACCAAGGCAACGAUACAUAGCCGACCUGAGAGGGUGAUCGGCCACACUGGGACUGAGACACGGCCCAGACUCCUACGGGAGGCAGCAGUAGGGAAUCUUCGGCAAUGGACGGAAGUCUGACCGAGCAACGCCGCGUGAGUGAAGAAGGUUUUCGGAUUGUAAAGCUCUGUUGUAAGAGAAGAACGAGUGUGAGAGUGGAAAGUUCACACUGUGACGGUAUCUUACCAGAAAGGGACGGCUAACUACGUG
This 495-nucleotide ribosomal RNA is filed under the name uncultured bacterium. RNAcentral's name for it is "partial 16S ribosomal RNA". It matches the Rfam family "Bacterial small subunit ribosomal RNA", at positions 28 to 507 of the family's 1533-position model. The record is from RNAcentral.